RNAcentral lists this ribosomal RNA (467 nucleotides) under uncultured bacterium. RNAcentral's name for it is "partial 16S ribosomal RNA". It matches the Rfam family "Bacterial small subunit ribosomal RNA", at positions 28 to 506 of the family's 1533-position model. The record is from RNAcentral.
GACGAACGCUGGCGGCGUGCUUAACACAUGCAAGUCGAACGGAAAGGCCCUGCUUUUGUGGGGUGCUCGAGUGGCGAACGGGUGAGUAACACGUGAGUAACCUGCCCUUGACUUUGGGAUAACUUCAGGAAACUGGGGCUAAUACCGGAUAGGAGCUCCUGCUGCAUGGUGGGGGUUGGAAAGUUUCGGCGGUUGGGGAUGGACUCGCGGCUUAUCAGCCUGUUGGUGGGGUAGUGGCUUACCAAGGCUGUGACGGGUAGCCGGCCUGGGAGGGUGACCGGGGACAUGGGGACUGAGGUACGGAGCAGGCGGGUACGGGAGGCAGGGGGAGGGAGUAUGGCGGAGUGGGGGGGAGGCUGAGGCAGCGGCGCCGGGUGCGGGAUGACGGGCUUCGGGGGGUGAACCGCUGUCGCAGGUGACGAGGCGUGAGUGACGGUAAUGGGUAAGGAAGCACCGGCUAACUACGU